CGCUAAUCAGCUGCUGUAGUUUCUAAUAUGCAUGUGUUUCAGGUGAUUAUUCAGAUGUGGGCACGAACAGCGCAUGCGCGUCAGCUCCAGCGCGUCUCAUUCCGCUCGCGUCUGUUUGACAGGAACACAUGCGGCAUAUUCAGCGCUUAGAACUGAAGAGAGGAGCAACUCCAGGAGGUUUUGCGUGUUUGGUCAGGAUGGGCUGCUCAUCUUCCAGCACACAGACGCUCGCGCAGGAGAACCCACCGCGCGUCAAAGCGGAGGAGGCGAGCGGAGAAACUCUGCUCUCUCGUAAUGGGCUUGUAGCAGAAGACAGCGAGACCGUCUCGGAUCAGAUGCAGCUGCCAGUUCAAAGCACUCUGCCGGAUGAGCUGGGUCCCGGACCGGACGAGACGGUGGAGGCCUCAGAAGCAGAGCAGACAGCGGUCAGCGCUAGUGAUGCUCCUCUAGAGGAGAGAGAUGCAGCUGAUGUUCCCACUGCUUCAGAACCCACUGACUCCACGCCUGCAGAACCCUCUCUAGCUGUGGAACCUGCGUCAGAUCUCACCAGCACUCCAGAACCCAAGCCAGCUGAGCUAACAGAAGCUCUAGAGGCCCCAUCAGACACGAGCUCGGAGCCCACACUGGAGCAAGCAGACACAGCUCCUGAAGCGAAGCCAACCGCAGCUCAAGAACCAGGUCCAGUGGAGCGAAGCCCUGCUCCAGAACUCACUGUGUCUGAGCCUGUCCCGAGUGCAGAACCAGCUCCUGCUGAGGAACCGACUGUGUCUCCAGAACCAGCUGCAGUGGAACCGAGCCCAGCUCCAGAAUCAGUUCUGGCUCCAGAACCCUCGGCUGAGGAACCGAGUGUGUCUCCAGAACCAGCUGCAGUGGAACCGAGCCCAGCUCCAGAAUCAGUUCUGGCUCCAGAACCCUCGGCUGAGGAACCGAGUGUGUCUCCAGAACCAGCUGCAGUGGAACCGAGCCCAGCUCCAGAAUCAGCUCCGGCUCCAGAACCCUCGGCUGAGGAACCGAGUUCAGCUCCAGAACCCUCGGCUGAGGAACCGGGUUCAGCUCCAGAACCAGCUGCAGUGGAACCGAGCCCAGCUCCAGAAUCAGCUCUGGCUCCAGAAACCUCGGCUGAGGAACCGAGUUCAGCUCCAGAACCCUCGGCUGAGGAACUGACUGUGUCUCCAGAACCAGCUGCAGUGGAACCGAGCCCAGCUCCAGAAUCAGCUCCGGCUCCAGAGCCCACGGUUGAGGAACCAAGCCCAGCUCCAGAACCCUCGGCGGAGGCAGCAGCGAUCACACAGUCUGCAGAGGAGAACGCGACCUGCGCAGACGCUCCAGAGGGUAACGCAUGGGAACAUGGGCAGAUCAGCUCUAGAAAUCCAGAAAUGAGCACUGAUUACAUCUGCAGCAGCAACAAGCUCUGUUUUAAAUUAUGUUUCUGAUCACUUUAGAUCAAAGCCUCAGAUUACAGGAUGCUUGAGCAGUAAAAUAAAGCUCUGGUCACUACACAUACUGUAGUAAGGCAGUGCAUAACCAGUGCUGGGUAACAGAACAGAGAUUGUUGAGUAGAGUUCACUGCAGUCUAGACAAAGACAAAGUCUAGACACAGAACAUGUCACCGUUUUCUUCACAUCUGCACUAUGCACAACAGCCUCUUGCUGACGCUUCGUCGCUCUUUGUGUCGAGCCAAAAGCCACAAUAAUCUUGUACUCUGUUGCCUCAGAUUAUGUCAGAUGAGCGCUCGCAUGUCCUGCGAUGACGGCAGCGGUUCGUGACACACGGCGCUGGGCCAUGCCACAGUACUGCUUAAUACAAGCUGUAAUGAUAAUCAGUAUUGAUACUUAUAUUCUGAUACAACCAUUUAUUUAAAAUACGAGCGAAUGAACGAAUGUGCAGGCAUGUGUGAGAGUGAGACUCUGAAUUCAAUGUGCUUUUCUCUGAUUUAUUCAGCAUCAGCAUUUUAACGCUCGCACACAUCCUGACAAACACGACAUGUAGGACAACAAGCCUAGUGCAGCUAAAGCUCUCAGACCAAGCGUCUCUGUGAAACACGAGGUAGGGUCAGUGUAGCAGGUUUAUUUACAGAGAUGGACAGGCGAAUGUCACCGACUUCUUAAAGAUCUGACUGAAGAUCUGAAGAUUAUUGACCAUUCAGAACACAUGUAGUGUCCCAGAGAUGCAGUAUGGUGCAUAUUUAUAUUCCAGUUUAUGAGAAUAUAAUAUAAAAUAAAG
This 2223-nucleotide long non-coding RNA is filed under the name Sinocyclocheilus anshuiensis. RNAcentral's name for it is "lncRNA (ENSSANG00000028329.1)". Lineage: Eukaryota; Metazoa; Chordata; Actinopteri; Cypriniformes; Cyprinidae. The record is from RNAcentral.